UACGUAGGUGGCAAGCGUUGUCCGGAUUUAUUGGGUUUAAAGGGUGCGUAGGCGGCUUUGUAAGUCUGUGGUGAAAUAUGGCAGCUCAACUGUCAGGGUGCCAUUGAUACUGCGGAGCUUGAGUACAGAUGAGGUAGGCGGAAUUGACGGUGUAGCGGUGAAAUGCUUAGAUAUCGUCAAGAACACCGAUAGCGAAGGCAGCUUACUAGGCUGUAACUGACGCUGAGGCACGAAAGUGUGGGGAUCAAACAGG
Molecule: ribosomal RNA, 253 nt
Filed under: uncultured bacterium
Lineage: Bacteria
Description: partial 16S ribosomal RNA
Rfam family: Bacterial small subunit ribosomal RNA
Source: RNAcentral